Long non-coding RNA from Hyla sarda, 340 nucleotides. RefSeq lists it as uncharacterized. The record is from RefSeq and is a predicted model, not a curated record. NCBI's taxonomy places the organism in Eukaryota, Metazoa, Chordata, Amphibia, Anura, Hylidae. The transcript has 3 exons.
CCGGGGCUGGACCGGAGCGGAGAAGAGGGCCUCCCGGUGAAAAUGGACAGCCCGGAAUGACUAACCCUCCUCACCGGACGGUCCUUGCAGCAUAGAUGGCCCGGACCAGCUCACCCUUCCUUCCCACCGAGGGGAGGUAGAGAAUCGGGCAAGUGGCCGCAGAAAGAAGCUUUAGUGGACACCGAUGACUGUGGGGAAAAGAGAAUCAGCACCACUCCCCUGCUGCAUUUGGAAUUUCACCAAAGGGCAGAGCUGCAGUACCGGUCACUACCAAUGGACAGGAGGGGCGCAGUACCGGUCACUACCAAUGGACAGGAGCGGCGCUAUUUCUAUUAAAAAC